CCCGCUUAGCCUCCCAAAGUGCUGGGAUUACAGACAUGAGCCACCGUGCCCGGCCAGGAGUGGGUUCUUGAUAAAAGCAUGUUUGGUCCCCUAUUGUCCUCUCUUCCUCUCUUGCCCAUCCACCCUCCAGCAUGGGAUGAGGUAGCAUGAAGGCCACUUGACUUCGGACUUUUCAUCCUCCAGAAAUGUAAGAAAUAAAUUAUUUUUCUUUAUCAACUACCCAGAAUAUUACCCAGUGGUAUUCUGUUAUAGCAACACAAAACAGACUGACACUCGCAGAAUUUCUACAAGAUCUUUUUAAUUUUGCUUCCAUUGCAAUUUCAUUUUGGCUUUUGACCCUUGCAUCUAGAAUAGGCUUGGCCUUGCUCCAGGGAACAUGCCAUCCUGGCCUGACAUAUUUCAUCUUCCCAACUUCUGUCUUCUUUUCAACUACCCACUCCGAAGUAUCCCUGACUCGUCUCCCUUGUCUUUGUUCCUCCUAGUGUGUUUUGUUUUGUUUUUUUGAUGCAUGGGCCAUGACAGAAAUCUACUGAGGUGAAGGGGAAUUGAGGAGAGACUCAUUGUUUUCAGCAAGAUGGGUAGUUAUUGAGGAGAAAUUAGAAGGCAUCAACUAACUGAAUGUGAUAGGAUCCACAUUCCCACCACACGAAAUGAGACAGAUUUUUAAAUAUGGCUAAGCAGUGUAAGUAUUCAGGCAAAGUCUGACAACUAAAUGUGUAGUGGGCUCUAAUUAGAUGGUUCUUCAUUUGUCUCUAGGAAAAAGACUGAAGGAAACAGACAGUGAGACUGAUCCAAAAACUCCCAUGUAUAUACAAACACAUGAAAAAUGUCACCAAAAUGUUAAUGGCAGCUAUGUUACAGUUGCAUCAGGGAUGGGAUUUCAGUGCAUGACAUCUACAAGUGUACAAGAUGGUACUGGAUCCAGUGAGGAAGACAAAAAGUCUGGCAGGAAUGUGAGAGAGACUGGGAAGAAUUGGCUCAAUAUGAUGAUGGAGUUCAGAGAGCUAAAUGAAGUUCUGAGAAGUCACUGUUUUAAAUGGCUUAGCCAUGUGGAGG
Molecule: non-coding RNA, 1056 nt
Organism: Chlorocebus sabaeus (green monkey)
Lineage: Eukaryota; Metazoa; Chordata; Mammalia; Primates; Cercopithecidae
Source: RefSeq, a predicted model, not a curated record